This 433-nucleotide ribosomal RNA is filed under the name uncultured bacterium. RNAcentral's name for it is "partial 16S ribosomal RNA". It matches the Rfam family "Bacterial small subunit ribosomal RNA", at positions 29 to 507 of the family's 1533-position model. The record is from RNAcentral.
AACGAACGCUGGCGGCAUGCCUAACACAUGCAAGUCGAACGAGACCUUCGGGUCUAGUGGCGCACGGGUGCGUAACGCGUGGGAACCUGCCCUUAGGUUCGGAAUAACUCCCCGAAAGGGGUGCUAAUACCGGAUCAUGUCUUCGGACCAAAGAUUUAUCGCCUUUGGAUGGGCCUGCGUUGGAUUAGCUAGUUGGUAGGGUAAAAGCCUACCAAGGCGACGAUACAUAACUGGUCUGAGAGGAUGAUCAGCCACACUGGGACUGAGACACGGCCCAGACUCCUACGGGAGGCAGCAGUGGGGAAUAUUGGACAGUGGGCGAAAGCCUGAUCCAGCAAUGCCGCGUGAGUGAUGAAGGCCUUAGGGUUGUAAAGCUCUUUUACCCGGGAUGAUAAUGACAGUACCGGGAGAAUAAGCUCCGGCUAACUCCGUG